AUAUGGUGAGAUCGUGCAUACUGUAUCAGUCUGUCUCGACCUGGGAAAAUAAUGCUUUUAGCAACUAUGACGGCUAACAGAGGUGGGCUCGGUCCUCUGUCCUUAUCCCCGCCAUGCUGUUGUCUCUCUAUCUCUCUCUCUCUCUCUCUCUCUCUCUCUCUCUCUCUCUCUCUCUCUCUCUCUCGCUCUCUCUCUCUUCUUCUCUCUCUCUCUCCUAUCUCUAGGCGCGUGUGUACUAUGGGGUUCUGUAGUAAAAUGUCCAGAGGGCAAGCAGUAAUCAUGGGGUGAGGCUAAUGUCAGAGCGGCAUCAAAGACCCUUAACUGGAUACGUACGUUAAACCCACUCUGAAAUCCAGGGCAUGUUGACUCCUGCGUCCCUCUCGUUCAGUUUUUCCACUCUGACUGUUGCCUGUAUUUGCAUAGCCAUGCGGAAAAGAAAGCUCAACGAAUGUGCUUACCCAUCCGAGAAGGAAGAACAAGCUCCAUGGAGUCCCCUAACCUGGAGUUUGAGUAUGGGGACACAGACAGCCUGACCACUGAACUCUCAGAGAUAUACAGUUACACGGAGGAGCCCGAGUUCACCCUCAACAGGGACUACUUUGAGGAGGAUUUCAGGAGCCAUGUGCGGGGAAGGAGGUGGAUUGAGCUGGGUCAGGAGCAGCAGAAGGCCUAUGUGAUGAGACUACUAGAUGCUCUGGAGGUCACUGACCGGGACAAGAGGCUGAAGGUGGCCCGGGCCAUCCUCUACCUGGCACAGGGGGUGUUUGACGAGUGUGACACGGACGCGGACGUGAUCCACUGGUCUCGCCACAACGUGUUCCUGCUGUAUGACAUGGGCAUCUUCACCGCUCUCCUGGAGCUGCUGAGCAUGGAGAUGGAUAACAACCAAGCCUGCAGCAGCGCAGUGAGGAAACCUGCUAUCUCUCUGGCGGACAGCACAGAACUCAGGGUCUUGCUAAGCAUCAUGUACCUGAUGGUGGAGACCAUCCGUCUGCAGACAGAGGAUGACAGACCAGAGUGGAGAACUGCCAGAGAGGCCUUCAAGACUGAACUGGGUUCUCCUCUGUACAACGGAGAGCCAUUCGCCCUGCUGCUCUUCACCAUGGUGACCAAGUUCUGCAGUAUGAACGCUCCACACUUUCCCAUGAAGAAGGUCCUGCUCCUGCUCUGGAAGACCAUCCUGUUCACCAUGGGGGGCUUUGAGGAGCUCCAGGAGAUGAAGGUUCGAGGCAGAGAGAGGCUGAGCCUGCCCCCCCUGCCUGAGGACAGCAUCAAGGUGGUCCGGAGCAUGAGGGCAGCCUCUCCUCCAGCCUCGGCAAUGGAGCUCAUCGAGCAGCAACAGCAGGCCAAGAGAGGACGCCGCAGCCGCAGGCCCCUGGUAAAGCAGGACAGCCUAGACACGUACAACGAGCGAGACCCCUUUAAGAACGACGAUGCACGAGACGAGGAGGAGGACGGCGAGGAAGCCGACAGUGGCAUCGAGGGCGAGGUGGACCCCCUGGACAGUGAUGUCAUCAUCCAGCCACCACCCCCACCGCCCCCGCUCAGACCCCCCACUGAGAGAGCAUCCCUCCCCAAGGGUCUGCCCUGGGCCCCCAAAGUCAGAGAGAAAGACAUCGAGCAGUUCUUGGAGACCAGCAGGAUCAAGUUCAUCGGCUUCACUCUGGGAAAUAUUUGCUGUCUAGACCUGUCAUGUUUCCGAGCUGAGAGGUUGAAAGCUAAAAACCCACGUUUUAUUUAUCAGAUUGCCCUUCUGAAGCUGCUGCUGGCUGCAGCACCUACCUCCAAGGCCAAGACUGACUCCAUCAAUAUACUGGCUGAUGUGCUGCCAGAGGAGAUGCCAAUCACGGUCCUCCAGAGCAUGAAGCUGGGUAUUGAUGUGAACAGACACAAGGAGAUCAUUGUCAAGGCCAUCUCUGCACUUCUGCUCCUGCUGCUCAAGCACCUGAAACUCAAUCACAUCUACCAAUUUGAGAUUGUCUCUCAACACCUGGUGUUCGCUAACUGCAUCCCACUCAUCCUCAAGUUCUUCAACCAGAACAUCCUGUCUUACAUCAGUGCCAAAAACAGUAUAUGUGUGCUGGACUUCCCUCACUGUGUGGUCCACGAGAUGCCUGAGCUCACGGCUGAGAGCUUGGAAGCUGGAGACCGUAAUCAGUUCUGCUGGCGUAAUCUCUUCUCCUGCAUCAACCUGCUGAGGAUCCUCAACAAGCUGACUAAGUGGAAACACUCCAGGACCAUGAUGCUGGUGGUUUUCAAGUCUGCUCCCAUCCUGAAGAGGGCGCUGAAGGUCAAACAGGCCAUGAUGCAGCUGUAUGUCCUCAAGCUGCUCAAGAUCCAGACCAAGUACCUGGGCCGCCAGUGGAGGAAGAGCAACAUGAAGACCAUGUCAGCCAUCUACCAGAAAGUACGACACAGGCUCAACGACGACUGGGCCUAUGGCAACGAUAUCGACGCGCGGCCGUGGGACUUCCAGGCGGAGGAGUGCGCCCUGAGGGAGAGCAUCGAGAAGUUCAACAGCCGUCGCUACGACAAGAACCAGAACGGCGAGUUCGCCCCGGUGGACAACUGCCUGCAAAGCGUUCUGGGCCAGCGUGUUGAGCUGCCGGAGGACUUCCACUACAGCUAUGAAAUGUGGCUGGAGAGAGAGGUGUUUUCACAGCCUAUCCAAUGGGAGGGUCUACUACAACAGGCCCAAUGAGCGGGGAGGACACGCAUACCAGGGACACAAGCCUACGACUACUGUGAUCUUCAUGUAAAUAUGUGGCGCAAAUAGAACAUCUGUUUUGUAAUCACCUGUAUCCAUGCAGAAAUUGUACAGUAAUGGUAUAGACAGUAAUAAUGAUGUCAUGGCAACUUGGCAGGAGCAGGCUCUUACAGUACAACUAUGUGGAAUACUGUGAUUAUUCUGUUAGCGGUUGGAUUAGUUGUCGUGACUAUGUCCACUAUAACUAUAACCGCCAGUACAUUUUUUUCUCACUCAAUUUGGUUCGCUUCUGUUUUUUGUGGAAUAAUGAAUUUUAUAUCCAUGGCAUGUCCUCUUUUUUUUUUAUCAUGAAGAUGCACAUUUGAAGUACUGGCACUGUUUAGUUUAUGUUGUAAUGUUUUACAUGUGUAUUUAUUCAUGAUCACAGCCAUUUAUGUUUCGGUAUGUAAAUCUCAUAGCUGCAGAUGAUAUUGUCGUUGAUAUUUCUAGAAAAAAAAUGCCUAUUUGUAAAGAAAGUACUGUGUAUUAACAGGCUAACGAUGAAGUACCUUACUGUGAUUGUUUUCAAUGAAAAUAGCAAAGAGGAAUUUCUCAAGCAAGAAUUUAGCCAGGACUGUCUGGAGUUGGUCUGGGUAGGGAGGGGGGAAAUGAGCUGUUAUUGGUAGACGGGUUUUGAACUAAUUUAUCCCACCUGUGGAUGUCACCAGGCAGACCAAAACUCCAUCCUACCAAAACAGGAAGAUACAGCUGUUACAUUUAAAGAGCAUUAUCAUAAUGUUCACAAUUUCACAGUAUUAUUCCAACCUCCGUGUGGAAAUAUAUAUAUAACACAGGAAAAUAACAUUUCCCCUUUCUAGAUGAAUAGUAAUUUGUGUAAUCACAAACAGAUAUUCCUGUAAGUCAUUGAUUAUCAACUAGAUUCAGCUGCGGGAUGAUUUUUUUAAAAGACUUCUUCAGCGGAUGGUCAGGGUGCCGAAACACAAUUACAAAUCAUUUGUAGACAUAAAAAAAAACCCAGAUAUAAUAUUUUACCAAGCUAAACGUGCUUACAUUUGUAUACGAUCAAAUCUCUCUAUUAUGCGUGGGAAUACUUGGCAAACCGAUUUCCAAAAUUAAAAUCACUUUGACCUGAUUUCCUGGUGUUUUUCAUGUCUAACAAUGAGGAAAAAAAUAACUUGGAGGGGCAAAUAAAAUCUCCCGCUGUCCAAAUUCGGCCCA
This is a long non-coding RNA of Oncorhynchus tshawytscha (Chinook salmon), 3925 nucleotides long. The record is from Ensembl. NCBI's taxonomy places the organism in Eukaryota, Metazoa, Chordata, Actinopteri, Salmoniformes, Salmonidae.